GAGUUUGAUCCUGGCUCAGGAUGAACGCUAGCGGCAGGCUUAACACAUGCAAGUCGAGGGGCAGCAUUAUCUGCUUGCAGAUAGAUGGCGACCGGCGCACGGGUGCGUAACGCGUAUAGAACCUACCUUAUAUUGGGGGAUAGCCCAGAGAAAUUUGGAUUAAUACCCCAUGGUAUGUUGAAGUGGCAUCAUUUUGACAUUAAAGAUUUAUUGAUAUAAGAUGGCUAUGCGUUCUAUUAGCUAGUUGGUAUGGUAACGGCAUACCAAGGCUACGAUAGAUAGGGGUCCUGAGAGGGAGAUCCCCCACACUGGUACUGAGACACGGACCAGACUCCUACGGGAGGCAGCAGUGAGGAAUAUUGGACAAUGGAGGCAACUCUGAUCCAGCCAUGCCGCGUGCAGGAAGACUGCCCUAUGGGUUGUAAACUGCUUUUAUAGAGGAAGAAUGCUCACUACGGGUUAGUGAUUUGACGGUACUCUACGAAUAAGGAUCGGCUAACUCCGUGCCAGCAGCCGCGGUAAUACGGAGGAUCCAAGCGUUAUCCGGAAUCAUUGGGUUUAAAGGGUCCGUAGGCGGGUUUAUAAGUCAGUGGUGAAAGUUUGCGGCUCAACCGUAAAAUUGCCAUUGAUACUGUAGGUCUUGAAUUAUUGUGAAGUGGUUAGAAUGUGUAGUGUAGCGGUGAAAUGCAUAGAUAUUACACAGAAUACCGAUUGCGAAGGCAGAUCACUAACAAUUGAUUGACGCUAAGGGACGAAAGCGUGGGUAGCGAACAGGAUUGGAUACCCUGGUAGUCCACGCCGUAAACGAUGGUUACUAGCUGUUCGGACUUUGGUUUGAGUGGCUAAGCGAAAGUGAUAAGUAACCCACCUGGGGAGUACGUUCGCAAGAAUGAAACUCAAAGGAAUUGACGGGGGCCCGCACAAGCGGUGGAGCAUGUGGUUUAAUUCGAUGAUACGCGAGGAACCUUACCAGGGCUUAAAUGUGGUCUGACAGCUUUAGAGAUAGAGUUUUCUUCGGACAGAUCACAAGGUGCUGCAUGGUUGUCGUCAGCUCGUGCCGUGAGGUGUCAGGUUAAGUCCUAUAACGAGCGCAACCCCUGUUGUUAGUUGCCAGCAUGUAAAGAUGGGAACUCUAGCAAGACUGCCGGUGCAAACCGCGAGGAAGGUGGGGAUGACGUCAAAUCAUCACGGCCCUUACGUCCUGGGCCACACACGUGCUACAAUGGUAGGUACAGAGAGCAGCCACUUGGUGACAAGGAGCGAAUCUAUAAAGCCUAUCACAGUUCGGAUCGGAGUCUGCAACUCGACUCCGUGAAGCUGGAAUCGCUAGUAAUCGGAUAUCAGCCAUGAUCCGGUGAAUACGUUCCCGGGCCUUGUACACACCGCCCGUCAAGCCAUGGAAGCUGGGGGUACCUGAAGUCCGUCACCGUUAAGGAGCGGCCUAGGGUAAAACUGGUAACUGGGGCUAAGUCGUAACAAGGUAGCCGUA
Molecule: ribosomal RNA, 1489 nt
Filed under: Aquimarina sp.
Lineage: Bacteria; Pseudomonadati; Bacteroidota; Flavobacteriia; Flavobacteriales; Flavobacteriaceae
Description: bacterial SSU rRNA
Rfam family: Bacterial small subunit ribosomal RNA
Source: RNAcentral